RNAcentral lists this ribosomal RNA (506 nucleotides) under uncultured bacterium. RNAcentral's name for it is "partial 16S ribosomal RNA". It matches the Rfam family "Bacterial small subunit ribosomal RNA", at positions 28 to 523 of the family's 1533-position model. The record is from RNAcentral.
GACGAACGCUGGCGGCGCGCUUAACACAUGCAAGUCGAGUGAGAACCAGGCUUCGGCCUGGGGAAAGCGGCGAGCGGGUGAGUAACACGUGGGUAACCCACCCUUGGCACUGGGAUAGCCCGAGGAAACUCGGAUUAAUACCGGAUGGCCCAACAGCUCUUCGGAGCGGUUGGAAAAGGUAGCUUCGGCCUCCGGCCAAGGACGGGCCCGCGGCGGAUUAGCUUGUUGGUGGGGUAACGGCCCACCAAGGCGACGAUCCGUAGCUGGUCUGAGAGGACGAUCAGCCACACUGGGACUGAGACACGGCCCAGACUCCUACGGGAGGCAGCAGUGGGGAAUCUUGCGCAAUGGGCGAAAGCCUGACGCAGCGACGCCGCGUGGGGGAAGAAGGCUUUCGGGUUGUAAACCCCUUUCAGGAGGGACGAAGCCACUCGGGUGAAUAGCCCAGAGGGUGACGGUACCUCCAGAAGAAGCCCCGGCUAACUACGUGCCAGCAGCCGCCGUAA